Molecule: ribosomal RNA, 257 nt
Filed under: uncultured bacterium
Lineage: Bacteria
Description: partial 16S ribosomal RNA
Rfam family: Bacterial small subunit ribosomal RNA
Source: RNAcentral
CUUGCUAAGUCGAUGGCGACCGGCGCACGGGUGAGUAACACGUAUCCAACCUGCCGAUAACUCGGGGAUAGCCUUUCGAAAGAAAGAUUAAUAUCCGAUAGUAUACUAAAACCGCAUGGUUUUACUAUUAAAGAAUUUCGGUUAUCGAUGAGGAUGCGUUCCAUUAGUUUGUUGGCGGGGUAACGGCCCACCAAGACUACGAUGGAUAGGGGUUCUGAGAGGAAGGUCCCCCACAUUGGAACUGAGACACGGUCCAA